RNAcentral lists this ribosomal RNA (919 nucleotides) under uncultured bacterium. RNAcentral's name for it is "bacterial SSU rRNA". It matches the Rfam family "Bacterial small subunit ribosomal RNA", at positions 8 to 916 of the family's 1533-position model. The record is from RNAcentral.
AGAGUUUGAUCAGGGCUCAGAUUGAACGCUGGCGGCAUGCCUUACACAUGCAAGUCGAACGGCAGCAUGAUCUAGCUUGCUAGAUUGAUGGCGAGUGGCGAACGGGUGAGUAAUACAUCGGAACGUGCCCUGUAGUGGGGGAUAACUAGUCGAAAGAUUAGCUAAUACCGCAUACGACCUGAGGGUGAAAGUGGGGGACCGCAAGGCCUCAUGCUAUAGGAGCGGCCGAUGUCUGAUUAGCUAGUUGGUGAGGUAAAGGCUCACCAAGGCGACGAUCCAGUAGCUGGUCUGAGAGGACGAUCAGCCACACUGGGACUGAGACACGGCCCAGACUCCUACGGGAGGCAGCAGUGGGGAAUUUUGGACAAUGGGCGAAAGCCUGAUCCAGCAAUGCCGCGUGUGUGAAGAAGGCCUUCGGGUUGUAAAGCACUUUUGUCCGGAAAGAAAUGGCUCUGGUUAAUACCUGGGGUCGAUGACGGUACCGGAAGAAUAAGGACCGGCUAACUACGUGCCAGCAGCCGCGGUAAUACGUAGGGUCCAAGCGUUAAUCGGAAUUACUGGGCGUAAAGCGUGCGCAGGCGGUUGUGCAAGACCGAUGUGAAAUCCCCGAGCUUAACUUGGGAAUUGCAUUGGUGACUGCACGGCUAGAGUGUGUCAGAGGGGGGUAGAAUUCCACGUGUAGCAGUGAAAUGCGUAGAGAUGUGGAGGAAUACCGAUGGCGAAGGCAGCCCCCUGGGAUAACACUGACGCUCAUGCACGAAAGCGUGGGGAGCAAACAGGAUUAGAUACCCUGGUAGUCCACGCCCUAAACGAUGUCAACUAGUUGUUGGGGAUUCAUUUCCUUAGUAACGUAGCUAACGCGUGAAGUUGACCGCCUGGGGAGUACGGUCGCAAGAUUAAAACUCAAAGGAAUUGACGG